RNAcentral lists this ribosomal RNA (109 nucleotides) under Tenacibaculum sp. RNAcentral also lists the same sequence under 1 other name. The record is from RNAcentral. Lineage: Bacteria; Pseudomonadati; Bacteroidota; Flavobacteriia; Flavobacteriales; Flavobacteriaceae.
UAAGGUGAUUAUUGCAAUGGGGCUCACCUCUUACCAUUCCGAACAGAGAAGUUAAGCCCAUUUGCGCCGAUGGUACUGCCAAUGGUGGGAGAGUAGGUCGUUGCCUUUC